UACGUAGGGUGCGAGCGUUAAUCGGAAUUACUGGGCGUAAAGCGUGCGCAGGCGGUUAUUUAAGUCAGGUGUGAAAGCCCUGGGCUUAACCUAGGAAUUGCGCUUGAGACUGGAUAGCUUGGAGUGCGGCAGAGGGAGGUGGAAUUCCACGUGUAGCAGUGAAAUGCGUAGAGAUGUGGAGGAACACCGAUGGCGAAGGCAGCCUCCUGGGCCAGCACUGACGCUCAGGCACGAAAGCGUGGGGAGCAAACAGG
This 254-nucleotide ribosomal RNA is filed under the name uncultured bacterium. RNAcentral's name for it is "partial 16S ribosomal RNA". It matches the Rfam family "Bacterial small subunit ribosomal RNA", at positions 524 to 776 of the family's 1533-position model. The record is from RNAcentral.